UUUUUUAACUAUAUUUUCCUUCUUUUUUUUUAUAAUUUUAUUUCUGAACCCAGUGAUAUUAUACAAUUACAAUGUAUAUUUAUUUCUACUCUCGCUACUUCCUCUUGAAAUUAUGCAAGCUGUUUAAAUCUCUCUGGCAUUUUCAUGGAAGGAUGGGUUCUGCAGGGUGUGGGAGUGUGUGUAGCAGCCAUAUAAUUUCCUGCCUCUGCUUUCCCCUGGGGAAGGGGAGCGAAACACCGGCACCACCUGCACAUCUUGGGAGGCCCUAAGAACCUGGCACCCUGAAAAUCAGCUGAGAGGGAUGCAGCACCCCAAAGGCUGCUCUGAGGGACCUCAAAAGGGAGCUAAUUGUUCUCUGUCCUUUUGGGCUCCAGAACUGGGACUGCUUGGCGGAGAUUGCGACAGAUUUGUGUCCUUGAGGAGCUGGCAUGGGAACAGCUGGGGCACGCGAGGGAGCAGAUAAAAGAAACACCUACUGCAGGUCAGCCUUCGCUCUGUGUAUCUGGACCAAAAGCCUGAUUCUUCCACAAACACUCGUUUCACAAAACACGGCAAACAUUGCGUUAGGAAACACUGAAGAGAGCCACAAAAGUAAUCUGGAUGUAGAUCUUGCACCUGCUGUGAAGUGCCCCUGCCUGGCCAGGGCUGGGUAAGGAGGUGAGGGCUGGUGGGCAUCCCUUUAUUAUCUCCUGAUGGAAAAGUGGCAUCAGCCCCUGGACUGGCUGCCCUCAGCCUGCCUUCACCUGCCCUGUGGGAGAAAACUGCCCAUUCCUGCCUGCUAGCUGGCCUCCCCCAGGAAAAAACCUCAUUAAAAGUACACUGCUGGGAUUUUUAUAAGAUUCCAGCUCUUUCAGCGAUGAAGUUGUAAGGAAGUUGAAGUGCAGCUUGCUUAAGCUAACUCCCUGAGAAAAAAAGUUACCUGUGUGGCAAAAAAAGUUUCCAGAUCUGGGCUCUUAGAGGUAGGCUCCAAAAUCCCUUCUCAUCCAUGACCCAGGGCAGCCCUACCCAGUGCAUCUAUGGGGAGCAGAGCACAAUUUGGGGAGCUCUGCUGGCACUGAGCCCACUGAGCCCUGAAGGUUUCCAUUAUUUCUGUCAGGCUGCUAAGAGUAUUUCAUUUCCUGUGCUGGAAAUUAAGCUUGCAGCAUGGAGUAAAUGGAGGAGAGGCAAAUUGAGGCACUUUCCUCCAAGCCUCACACCUUUGGGUGCUCUGGACAUUAAAUUAGUAAUCCUUGGUGGGCUCCCUCACAUCCAUCCCAGUUUUCUCUCAUGGUUGCCUAGAUGAAAAUAACAAGUGUGCUGGUGCUGGACUAUCAUUUCUCCUCAAUAAAAUGCUGAUGAACCUCUACAAAUUUACAUCUUUUGGGCAUGCCAGUGGGUUAGCAGCAUAACAGGCCAGGAGGACGAGUAGCACUGAGAUCCAUGGCACAUUUCACCCUAUAUCUUCUUUUCUUCCUCUAGAAAUUCAGCUGCUGCCUUCAAAGUUUUUCAUAACAUUAUCCAGGACAAAUAGAUACAAACAAAUGAUACUCUGGGGGCAAAAAAUAAAAUUUUAAAAAAAUCCUAACUAGAUUAGGGAAGCAGUUUUGCAAACUAUUGAGCUUUUUGAACUUUUGAAGCUUUCCUUGACAGUGUGCAACAAGUCUUGUCUGCCCAGACAAGCAGAGAGAUCCUUUUGGUCCCUGUGUUUCCAGUGCCAAACACAGCAUUGCUGAUGCUUCCAGGACACAGCAGGUGUCCUGGGCAGAGGAAGAGGCAGGCUGGGACCAAAGUGCCUGAGGAAGGGAGACUUUCCCCCAGAGUGUGUGUUGGUCUGUAAAAGGACUGUGAGGAGUUUCUCCUUGUCUGCAGCAGGCUCACCACCUGGGAGCUCCCCUCUCUGCCUCUGCAGAAUGCAUUUCUUCCUCCAGACAGCUAAAGCAGGCUGGCUUUGGGGCUGUCAGGCUGCUGCCCCACACCCAGCCCCACAAGUACCUUGGUGAGGAGGGGUCCUCUGCCUGACCUCCAGCACUGUCCCCUGGCUGAUGGCUGUCAGAUGGGAAUAGAGCUGGGUGCAAUGCUGCUGGUUGCCAGCCCACCUGGAGACAGCUCUGUUUGUGUCUUAUCUGUAAUGGUUAAUCAUUACACUUUAUAUGCAUCCCCCUGGCAUGCACUUACUCCUUCUGGAAAUGAGUUGAGUCUCCUGAGACUGAGUAAUGGUAAAAAGGAAGAAAAACUCCAAGAAGCUGAGCUGAGCAUCUCUCAUGCCAUCUCUGUAUGCCCAGACCUUGGGUAUUUCUGAAGAUGCUGAGUCCCUGUGCUGCAGCAGGGCCAGGGAGGAGGCUGAGCACAUCAGAAAUGGAGCGACUUUCCAGAGUGUGACUCCUUGGGCAGGGACUGAUGGGGAAGGCACCACAUCCUCCCUCCAAGGCUCAGAGAUGCUGGGCAGCUCCUCUAACACUGAUCUGGUGGGGGCAAGAUGGAGUUUCAGGUCUCACUAGAGGUGUUACUUUUAACCAGCUCAUGUAUUUAGAAAGGGGAGAAUUCUGUCUAGCAGCCAUCAGUGCCUGGCUUAGGGCCAGAUGAAGAAUAAGGAAAAGAUUUUUUUAUAGUGGGGGUGGUAAAACUCUGGAACAGGUUGCCCAGAGAGGUGGUGGAUGCCCCAUUCCUGGAAACAUUCAAGGCCAAGUUGGAGGGACUCUGAGUAACCUUAUCUAAUGGAAGAGGCCCCUACUCAUUGCAGGGAGUUGGACUAGAUGGCCUUUAAAUGUCCAGUUCAAUCCAAACCAUUCUAUGAUUUAAUGAUCUUGUGAUAGGGUCUCUUCUUGGGGCUCCCCAGCCUUCUCCUGCAAGGUUUCACUGAGCAAACCUGGGUCCUGCAUGGUCCAUCCUCAGCUCCACAAUGCAACAGCUGCUCCAGCCAGUGUGCAAAGCUGCUGAAAACAUGCAAAUGCCCAUUUUUGUCCAGCUUCUUUGAGGAGCCCUGUGAAAUUGAGGAGGAAGGUGCUGGGUCCGUGGAUACCUGCUGGAUACCUGGUAGUUGUGCUGCUGGGAGUUUGAGCUCCUGCUGGGGAGCUUUGAAGGAGACACCUCCAGCUCCAGGACAAAUACAAGUUAACAGCAAAGGGGAAAAGAGUUGUUUCAGGCAAGGUGAGAAGAUUUAAAAUGUAGAAAACACUUAAGGGUUUGAGCACAGUACCACACAGCAAAAAACAUGGAUGAAGGGAUCACAGGAGAAAUCAUUACAGGGAAAAUUGAUAAUAUGGUGUGAAACAGUCCCAUGAAUUCCCAGUCCCAAACUCCCCAAUCUUGAGCCUGGUUUAAUAAUCACAGCUUAACUGUAAAGUAGGAGAAGGGCUUUUUCUCUGCACUGUGGGAUGUUCCAUAGGACUUUGGAAAUCAGUUAUGUUAUAUUUUCAAGAUUAUCAAGUCUAUAAAGAGUUUUAAAAUGUUUGAAGAUGAUCAAGUAGGAAGGAUUUGUGAAGAAUACUUGUUUUAAGGAAAAAGCUUAGUACGGCUAAAAACUUGGGAGCUAAGAAGUUCAAACACUUUCAAACUUUUCUUCUUGCUAAAAAUAUCAUCCUCCAGCUUGGGCCACAGCUUGAGUACUGGAUCCAACACCUGCAAGUGGUUUCAGUUGUCUUCCUCUUUUUUAAAACUCUUUUUGUUGCUUUUUAAUGUGCUGGUGGAUUCUGACCUAGAGGCAUUACUUUACUGUGAUGAACCAAAUACAUUCAAAAUCAUGUGUAA
Molecule: non-coding RNA, 3726 nt
Organism: Cyanistes caeruleus (blue tit)
Lineage: Eukaryota; Metazoa; Chordata; Aves; Passeriformes; Paridae
Source: RefSeq, a predicted model, not a curated record